Molecule: non-coding RNA, 2616 nt
Organism: Callithrix jacchus (white-tufted-ear marmoset)
Lineage: Eukaryota; Metazoa; Chordata; Mammalia; Primates; Cebidae
Source: RefSeq, a predicted model, not a curated record
AAUAUUUAAAUGCAAGUUGGUGUGUCAUUAUUAAACUGUAUACUCAGGCACCACUAAAUUACUUCUGACUCAUAAUUAAAUACUUAUUCUAGGCAUUUGAACUCCCUGCACUUAAUGGAACAAUCAAUUGCUGCAUAUAUUUCAACACUGAACAACUGACUUCGUGUUCCAGUUGCCUGCUGAAAGGGUGCCGGGAUCUGUGUGAUUUCCCAUGCGGUGACUCACUGUGCUGGCUGAAAGAACGGUGCUGCCCGGGAAUCUCCUGUGUCUCACCUGUGUUGCCCCUGUGGGCCUUCAACUCCUGAACUCAACAGAUCCUCCCGCCUCAGCCUCCAGAGUACUGGGACUACAGGUGUUCAGAAAAGCCUGUUGGCCAGCUUCUCCACCAUCUAAACAUUAUUUAUCUGAAUGUUUAAGCUGUGCCUGAAGACCUUCAACGAGACGAGGUUGCAUCCCUCUCAGAUUCUAAGCAGCCCCUCGACCUGAGACCCAGAAGGCCAGGAAGCCAGCGCACUCAACCAGGGCGGCAGGCUGUGGAAGGAAGUCGUUCCGUGGCUUCAGGCUCAAGUGACACAGAACUUGGGGCCUCGAGCACCUACAGGGCCUGUGUUCCUUGGAAUGGACCGGGGCCUCGGAUGUUUUUCACGGACAAUGAACGAAUCUCCUGGUUGGCCACUCCUGGAUUCCCUAGCUUGGAACACCCCAUUCAGGUGAUGCUUACUCCUCCUCACCUUCUGCCAUGAGCGGAAGCUUCCUGAAACCCUCAUCAGACAUAGAUGCUGAUACUAUGUCUCUUGCGCAGCCUGCUGAACCGUGAGCCAGAUAAAAUUAUUUUCUUUAUAAAUUACCCAGCCUUGGGUAUUUCCUAAUAGCAACACAAAUGAACGAAGACACCUAGUGUCCAUUAAUGGAAAAAUGGAUAAAAAAAUGAAGGUAAUAUGUAUAUGGUACAUACAUACAUACAAUGGAAUAUUAUUCAGCCUUCUCAAGGAAGAAAAUUUUGACACAUGCUACAAUAGGAAUAAACUUUGUGGACAUCAUGCUAAGUGAAAUUAACUAAUGUCAUAAAAUAAUGCCAUAAACUAAUUAUUCCAUUACCGUAAGUACUCAGAGUAGUCAAAUCCAUAGAGAAAGUAGAACAGUGGUUGCCAGGGACUAGGAGAAGAGGAGAACAUGGAGUUUUUUAAUGCAAUUCCACAUUUCAGUUUUUUGAGAGGCAAGGGGUUCUUGAGGUUGUUUGCACAACAACGUGAAUACAUUUAGUCAAUGGAACUGUACAUUUUAAAGUAUUUGAGAUGAUACACUUUAGUUCUGUGUGACAAUUUAAAAUAAUUUAAAAUUCUAAUUAAAAAAGAGCUGUGCGAGCCAUUUUUCUACCUUCCCUGUUAGUUGCCUGCAUUUUUGACAAAUCCAAAGAUAAUUUUAUAUUAGGUAAGUAGUUUCUCUCUAUGUGUACCUUGGUGCCAGUGGCAAUCUUCUCACACUGUCGUGACCUCUUUCCAGUUUAUGCUUUGCAUAGCACAUGGUAGCUUGAGUUCAGGGUGACAUUUUUUGAACUGCUCAAUCACUUUUUCUGUUUGAAGUGUGGGCUCACUCUGGGAAGACAUGCGAACACUGCGGGUAUGUAAUUGCUCAUUUAUCUUCUCUGCGCAUGACCAAGACAAAGGCAGCUCUUUUAUGAACACAAGACAGAGACUGGGCAGUCAGGUUCUGUGUGGGGUCUCUGCAUUGUCUUGUCUUGAAUUGACAGAUGAAGGUCAUAAAUUAGGUUCCCUGAACAAAAGUUAGGGUUUCAGUCAAAGCUCUCCAAAGGACAUCACUGAGUAAAGAAUUUGGAAACUUCUGAGGAAUCCCAUUUGGUUUAUAUUAUUGAUAAGGUUACUUCAGAAUGCGCUUCUCUGGUAAAAACUGGGCAACUCUAGUCUCUUUCUGUUUAUCUGUCCUUUUUCAUUGGUAUUAGUCUUAACAACAGCACCCUUGACAUCUGGCUUGAUUUUCUCUUCCCUAAGAUGCAAGUUGCUCACCUACACAGAGUUUCUUCCUGCUCUUCCCCUGCUGGUGCCCACAAUUAGAUGGUCUUGGCCCCAGUUGUGGAGUUGCAAGUGAGACCUUUCCCUGGGUGAAUUUGCCAGCCAGUGCAGUGAGAUAAAAUAUUCUGAGGGUUAAUCUCUCGUCCUAAUGAAGUAAGUUUUAACAUUAAAAUUCUAAUAAUGCUUAUUUUUCCACUUAAUAGACUUCAUGACUGUAAAAAUCUUUCUGAGGUUUUCAAAAGGAAGAGCUGCUAACAAGUAAAUCUGGUAGAAGAUAUGUUUUCUAGCUGAGGUCUCACAUCUGUUUAUAUACCUCACAGGGCCACCUCAGCAUCUCUAAAUGAGUAAUUAGCACUUUCCCUGCUAUUUACAAUAAUGGAAACCCUAACUAUAAAAGGCCAAAUUUUGGGAACAGUUCAUAUUACAGUCUAAGCUUUGUUUUGAAAAGCUUUAUUCUUUAAUGUGCACAGGUCUAUAAAGAAAUUCAUUGCUCUCAUAUCCAGAAUGCACAGAUUAGUGGAAAAACAAGACCAAAAGAAAAUUAAGUUCAAUUAUUUUUCUUCAUAUGGGUGGCAUUUGUUGUAAA